AAAAAAUCAAAGCGAAUCCUAAAGUUUUAAGUUUCUAUUCAGUCUUCUUUCCAUAUCGUCGAACUCUGGUACUAAUAGUCAAAUCCGGUAAUGAACUUUGCAUUCGAUCCAUCAUUCGACUUUUAGUUCAAUCGAUCUAUCACUCGGCAUCAAAUGGUGCCUUUUCGAUCUAUCAUUCAACCCCCAUCAAUUGUGCCAUCAGAUGUUCCAGUCCAAUUUUCUAAUUUGCUCAGAUGAUGAACGGGGGAUGAAGAAAUUACCGGUGGACA
Molecule: long non-coding RNA, 269 nt
Filed under: Zostera marina
Lineage: Eukaryota; Viridiplantae; Streptophyta; Magnoliopsida; Alismatales; Zosteraceae
Description: long non-coding RNA (ZMAR_LNC002668)
Source: RNAcentral